This 1603-nucleotide long non-coding RNA is filed under the name Homo sapiens (human). Its description in RNAcentral is "HSALNT0040534". Lineage: Eukaryota; Metazoa; Chordata; Mammalia; Primates; Hominidae. The record is from RNAcentral.
CCGGCCCCGGGCAAUGAGGGGCUUAGCACCCGGGCCAGCGGCUGCGGAGGAUGUACUGGGUCCCCCAGCAGUUCCAGCCCACCGGCGCUUUGCUCGAUUUCUCACCGGGCCUUAGCUGCCUUCCCUCGGGGCAGGGCUCCGGACCUGCAGCCCACCAUGCCUGAGCCUCCCACCCACUCCAUGGGCUCCUGUGCGGCCUGAGCCUCCCUGACGAGCGCCACCCCCUGCACCGGGGCGCCCAGUCCCAUCGACCACCCAAGGGCUGAGGAGUGCGGGCGCAAGGCACCGGGACUUGCAGGCGGCUCCACCUGCAGCCCCGGUGCGGGAUCCACUGGGUGAAGCCAGCUGGGCUCCUGAGUCUGGUGGGGAUGUGGAGAACCUUUGUGUCUAGCUCAGGGAUUGUAAACGCACCAAUCAGCGCCCUGUCAAAACAGACCACUCGGCUCUACCAAUCAGCAGGAUGUGGAUGGGGCCAGAUAUAAAAGCAGGCUGCCCGAGCUAGCAGUGGCAACCGGCUCGGGUCUCCUUACGCACUGUGGAAGCUUUGUUCCUUCGCUCUUUGCAAUAAAUCUUGCUACUGCUCACACUUUGGGUCCACACUGCCUUUAUGAGCUGUAACACUCACCGGGAAGGCCUGCAGCUUCACUCCUGAGCCAGCGAGACCACGAGCCCACCAGGAGGAACGAACAACUCCAGAGGCGCCGCCUUAAGAGCUGUAACCCGGCAAAGGUCUGCAGCUUCACUCCUGAGCCAGGGAGACCACGAACCCACCAGAAGGAAGAAACUCCAAACACAUCCGAACAUCAGAAGGAACAAACUCCAGACGCGCCACCUUAAGAGCUGUAACACUCACUGGGAGGGUCCGCGGCUUCAUUCUUGAAGUCAGUGAGACCAAGAACCCACCAAUUCCGGACACAUAACCACUAUGCUAGACCAGAUACAGGAAAUCUUCAUAACCUCAGGAAGUUCUCCUGUGCCUCUUUGCAGUCACUUCCUCUCCGUGUCUUCCUCCCACCCCCGCCAUCUGAGGCAACCACAACUGGAAUUUCUAUCAUAUUGUGUUAAAUUACUACUUCUAGAAAUUCAUGUAAAUGAAAUCAACCAGAAUGUGAUGUUUUCAGAUAUAUGAUCUCUGGUUGUUUUGUGAUCCCAGGAUCUACUGAGAUGUAUAGCAUAAGAAGUUAUACACAUCCUGGAUUUUGUAAGUUUCCCAGCUUCUCCAUUGUUCUUGAGUAUCAUUUUUCAGGGCAAUCAUAAAAAUGGGCAGGGCAUGAAGCAUUGCACUUCUAAAACUUGCAAAUCUGAAACCUGGAUUUCCAAACAUAUCAGAGAAAGAAGAAAAACAGGUCCUCACUGCCCUAUAGGACAAACCAGAACACGACGGCCAGGAUUCAGCUCCUAACCAAUCAAAUAGAGGAUUCAAAAAUACCCAAUCAAGAGGAGGAUUGAAAAACAGACUCUUCUGAAUGGACAAAGGGAGAAUAUGGGAGGGAACAACAUGGGAAUAUAAGUCAGACUAGCAACGGCACCCUCUUCCGGGUCCCCUUCCACCACGUGGAAGCUUUACUUUUGGUUUGCUCAAUAAACUGCGCUGCUGCACACU